CAUGCAGAGUUCUCUCCAUGAAAGUUUAGGUAAAGCUGGGAAGAUCAAGGUUUGGUUUCAAUAUCUUGGCUAUUUCAGAGCAUGGGGAAAGCUGCUCAGCAGCUGCUGUGAAUGACAGGGAUAUGCAAGAGCCUGGGGGCUGGUAAUGCUUCCAGUGGGUGAGACAGUGAAGUUGGGAUUUCAGCACAACUCCUUUGAUGCCUGUUCAGUGCAGCUGUGAGGAUGACAGAUGUGCUAAAAUAGACUUGGCACCCCUGAAAAAUCUCACCCUGCUGCAUGGAAGAAGGCAAGAAAAGAGGGUAUACAUGCCAACUUCCCAAGGAAGUGCACAGGAGCUGCAGAGUUUCCAUCACCCACCUUAAUUUCUGGAGCUGAGCUUUUUGUAUCAAACUGACCUCUACAGAGGAACUGUUCUCUUUAAUUGGGUGUCAAUAUGAGGAUUUGGCCUGGCUCAUACCUAGUUCACUCUCAGCCUUAUCAGGGCAACUUUUGCAUCAUGUCUUGUGUUUUUAGCCUUCUAAGUACUGUUGGUGAAGAAAGAACUCAAACAGGACAUACCAGUUUAAUUUAGACUGUUGCAAUCUCCUAAUACAAAGGCACUCAACUUCUUAAGACUGCUCAGUUUCUGUAAUUUGGGUGCUAUUCAGCUUGCAACUGUAGAAAUGUAGCUUUCAUCAACAUUUGAAA
Long non-coding RNA from Pezoporus flaviventris, 687 nucleotides. RefSeq lists it as uncharacterized. NCBI's taxonomy places the organism in Eukaryota, Metazoa, Chordata, Aves, Psittaciformes, Psittacidae. The record is from RefSeq and is a predicted model, not a curated record. The transcript is spliced from 3 exons.